UGGGGAAUCUUGCACAAUGGGCGAAAGCCUGAUGCAGCGACGCCGCGUGCGGGAUGAAGGCCUUCGGGUUGUAAACCGCUUUCAGCAGGGACGAGGCGAAAGUGACGGUACCUGCAGAAGAAGCCCCGGCUAACUACGUGCCAGCAGCCGCGGUAAUACGUAGGGGGCAAGCGUUAUCCGGAUUCAUUGGGCGUAAAGCGCUCGUAGGCGGUCUGUUAGGUCGGGAGUUAAAUCCGGGGGCUCAACCCCCGUUCGCUCCCGAUACCGGCAGACUUGGGUUUGGUAGGGGAAGGUGGAAUUCCUAGUGUAGCGGUGGAAUGCGCAGAUAUUAGGAAGAACACCAGUGGCGAAGGCGGCCUUCUGGGCCAUAACUGACGCUGAGGAGCGAAAGCUAGGGGAGCAAACAGGAUUAGAUACCCUGGUAGUCCUAGCUGUAAACGAUGAUUACUGGGUGUGGGCAUGAAGAGUGUCCGUGCCGAAGCAAAUGCGAUAAGUAAUCCGCCUGGGGAGUACGACCGCAAGGCUG
Molecule: ribosomal RNA, 526 nt
Filed under: uncultured bacterium
Lineage: Bacteria
Description: bacterial SSU rRNA
Rfam family: Bacterial small subunit ribosomal RNA
Source: RNAcentral